AGCGAACGCUGGCGGUAGGCCUAACACAUGCAAGUCGAACGGCAGCACAGUAAGAGCUUGCUCUUACGGGUGGCGAGUGGCGGACGGGUGAGGAAUACAUCGGAAUCUACUUUUUCGUGGGGGAUAACGUAGGGAAACUUACGCUAAUACCGCAUACGACCUACGGGUGAAAGCAGGGGAUCUUCGGACCUUGCGCGAUUGAAUGAGCCGAUGUCGGAUUAGCUAGUUGGCGGGGUAAGGGCCCACCAAGGCGACGAUCCGUAGCUGGUCUGAGAGGAUGAUCAGCCACACUGGAACUGAGACACGGUCCAGACUCCUACGGGAGGCAGCAGUGGGGAAUAUUGGACAAUGGGCGCAAGCCUGAUCCAGCCAUACCGCGUGGGUGAAGAAGGCCUUCGGGUUGUAAAGCCCUUUUGUUGGGAAAGAAAAGCAGCAGGUUAAUACCCCGCUGUUCUGACGGUACCCAAAGAAUAAGCACCGGCUAACUUCGUG
RNAcentral lists this ribosomal RNA (492 nucleotides) under uncultured bacterium. RNAcentral describes it as "partial 16S ribosomal RNA". It matches the Rfam family "Bacterial small subunit ribosomal RNA", at positions 29 to 507 of the family's 1533-position model. The record is from RNAcentral.